Schistocerca nitens (vagrant locust) is the source of this 223-nucleotide long non-coding RNA. RefSeq lists it as uncharacterized. The transcript is spliced from 3 exons. Lineage: Eukaryota; Metazoa; Arthropoda; Insecta; Orthoptera; Acrididae. The record is from RefSeq and is a predicted model, not a curated record.
UCGCCCACGGGGCUGCCCGACCAGCAGCAGCUGCAGCAGCCGCCGCACGAGACCUUCUUCGCGGUAGCUCACAUCACGGCUGGCUGCCGCAGCGGCUACGUGUGUCUGGCGCUGUACAGGAGGGACAGCCAUGUCAUCGAGCUUCAGGAGUCUGAGACGUGGUCGACGGCGCCUGAAGAUGCGUGCCAACCUCCCAACUUCAUCAGCCGACAGCUGCCUUUCU